AUGGCGCCGAAGAGGGAGCUGGUCUUGGCCAGCGCCCGGGGCUCGGAGUCGGCGAAGCGCCUGCGCGUGGGGGUCCCUGGAGCUGCCUGCGCCGGCGGCAGCGAGAGCGAGCGGUCGGUGCCGGCGUCGCCGGGAAAGCGGCUGCUGCGGCAGACAGUGUUCGUCGUGCUCUUUCUUGUGCGAAUGAGCGAAAAGAUCACGGUGACGGAAAGUAUGUCGCAGAUUGGUCGCAUGGUUCAGAAACUUCACAAGGUUCAGACUCUUAUCAUGAGCAAAUUGGAAAGUUUACAGCAGCAGAUGGAGGAUAUAAGCCAUGAAGUGAAGAAAUUGGCUUGUUUGCAUUCCGACCGACAUGCUGAUCAACACCCAAGAUCAGAACCAUAUCAGGAGGGUGCCACUUUGAGUGAACAGAACGCCAACAUUCGCCUGCGUUUCCUGGAUGGCCUGAAGACUCCAGUUUACACAGAUAAGAACAUAACAUCUGAAAGCGAUGCGGCUAUCAGGAUUGGCAUCUUUAAUGGUGAUAACAUGAUCAAGGAAGGCCUGCUUUCAAAGCUGAAAAUUGAGAUCCUGGUUCUCCAUGGAGACUUCUGCAACGACUGCCAGGGAAACUGGACCGGAGAGGAGUUCAAUAGCCAGAUCGUGCAAGGCCGGGACGGACACAGGUUUGUGUUAGGGGGUGAUUGCAGUGUGUGGUUGAACAAUGGAGAGGCCUCCUUCGGCAGGAUUCGUUUCAAAGAAGGAUCAUCCAGGACUCGCAGUAGGAAGUUCGUCGUGGGAGCAAGAGUUUGUAUGGGCGAAAAGACUGGUGUUCGAGUCCAAGAAGCUGUCAUGAAGCCGGUCACGGUGCUGGAUCGUAGAAAUGAAGCAAAUGAGAAGAGGUACCCUCCAAAACCAAAUGAUGAAGUGUAUCGUCUGGAAGAAAUUGCCAACGAUGGAACUUACCACAGGAGGCUUAAAAAUGCUAAAAUCUACACAGUGGAAGACUUCUUGAAGGCUCUGAAUAAGGACGCAGACGACCUCCGUGUAAGGGUUCUUCUGAUAAAGAAGGUGAACAACUCUUGGGAAAAAAUGGUUAAGCAUGCUAAGGGAUGCUGUCUCACAGACAUAAAUGAUAGGAUGAAUGUCAGUCUUCCUCAACAAGUUCCAUUUGACUAUGUGAUGAAUGACAAUCUUUCUUCUCUGGAUGCAGUCAUUCUUGAGCCGGAUGAGACUCUUCAAGGAACCACAGCAAACGAAAACCGGCUUCAUGAUAGGAUUGACCAUGUCACUGAACCAUCUCACCACAAUGAGUAUGUUCAUGGUGAUCAGAACACAGUUAAGUCAAAUUAUUACCAAGGUCGAUCCAAUCCAGAAAAUGGCAAUCUUGCUGAACAUGUUCCAUUUAACUAUGUGAUGAAUGUCAAUCCUCCUGAACAAGCUCCCUCUAGCACACAUUCCUCUCUGGAUGCGGUCAUGCUUAAGCCGGAUGAGGUACUUCAAGGAACCGCAGCGGAUGAAAACCGGUUUCAUCAAGUCACUGAACCAUCUCACUCCAAUGAGCAUGUUCAUGGUGAUCAGAAUGCAGUUAAUACACAUUGUUACCAAGGUGCCCCACCCCUUGGCCAGCAGCAACCUACAACAUUCAUGGCACCUUCACAGUUGGAUGGUGAAUUUCUAUGGAUCUUAGAAGGAUCAGUUCAAGCAAACAUCCAUAGCCAGAUGCAAGUUCCCAUAUCCAUGGAUUGUGGCAGUGCCAUGGAGGCAUCAACCUCUGUCCAACACAACCUUCUACCGCAACCAUUUGUGCCUACUCAAUUCCAAGAAAGCAUGCCUGGGAUCCAUUACUCUGAGAAUCCACCUAACCAUGCCUCUGGACCAACGAUAUGGCACGAUGAUCCUAUAACCGAACCGGAGCCUAGCGCUUAUCCUUAUCCUGGGCUGGAUCAUGGAAACUUUUAG
This 1941-nucleotide ribosomal RNA is filed under the name Triticum aestivum (bread wheat). RNAcentral's name for it is "partial small subunit ribosomal RNA". Lineage: Eukaryota; Viridiplantae; Streptophyta; Magnoliopsida; Poales; Poaceae. The record is from RNAcentral.